GGGGUUGAGUCACGACACUGGAUAUGCUGAUUUGGCUGCCAAGCUCCUUCAACAUUCCACCACAAUGCCCUUUUCCAGGAAGAGUGAGCAGUGGGAGUGCUUUAGAACCUGGCAUCCAAGGGACCUGGUGGGAAGGGGGAGUGAAGAAGUAAAGCUACAGCAAUAUGCCCAGUGAAUAGGUCCUAGGGUGAGCCCUCAGCACUUUGGAUACUGGAGUCAAGCCCUCUUUCUUCUGCUGUCCUCCUUGAAGCUCCACUCAGUGUCAGAGAGGGAAGACUAUUUAAGAUCACCCACCAUAUUAGUAGGAUUUCUCAGAAACAGAACCAACAGCAUGUGUAUUUAUAGAAAGAGAUUUAUUACAAGGAAUUGGCUGAUGUGAAUAUGGAAGCUGGAGAGUCUAAAAUCUGCAGUGUAGGACAGCAGGCUAGAAACUUGGGAGAGCUGAUUAUACACAAUCCUAAGGCAGUCUGCUGGAGAAUUUUCUCUUGCUCAGGGAUGCUAGUCUUUUUGUUCUAUUCAGGCCUUGAACUGAUUGGAUGAGGCCCACCCCAUUAGGGAGGGCAAUCUGCUUUACCCAAAGUUUACUGAUUUAAAUGUUAAUCCCAUCUAAAAAUAUCCUCUGAAAUGUGAAAGGGAAGUUCACUAUGCCAAAAGAAAAAAAUUAAGCAGAAGGUAAGUCAUGCAAGCAACGGCCUUUCCUUUUGUUCCUAGGCCCAUAGCUACUGAUAAAAGAUUAAAUAUCUCCACUCUAUGUUCACCCUACCUUGUGUAAAGCACCGAUUUACUGAGCAUGAGACGGAAACAUAAUUGACUAUUCCCUUACCUUCUUCUCCUUUUAUCUUGCAAUAUGUGGAUUUAGUAAUGUGACCCUACCCUCCCUAUUUCUUCUCCACCCUGCUUUCACCCUUUAAAUAUUGAAGUCCUAAAAAAUUAUCAUUGGGGAAAGCACAGACCUGUUUCUGGAGUGGUCCUUAACCUUGGCAAAAUAAACUUCUAAGGUGAUUUGAGACCCGUCUCAGAUAAUUUUUGGUUUACAAAAUUCACACAUAAAAUUAACUACCACACCCGUUUUUUCCCUUGAUUGACUCUGUGAGACUGAGUUUUCUCCUUUAGUCAUCUGAGUACCACCUUCAAGAUUUUUGCAAUAUCUGUGUAUAUAUAAUAAUAAUAUUCUUAUUUAUUUAUUUAGAGACAGAGUCUCGCUCUGUUGCCCAGGCUAGAGUGCAGUGGCGCGAUCUCGGCUCACUGCAACCUCUGCCUCCAAGGUUCAGGAGAUUCUCCUGCCUCAGCCUCCUUAGUAGCUGGGAUUACAGGUGCGUGCCACUAUGCCCGGCUAAUUUUUGUAUUUUUGGUAGAGACGGGGUUUCACCAUGUUGGCCAGGCUGGUCUUGAACUGCUGACCUCAUGUGAUCCACCCACCUCGGCCUCCCAAAGUGCUGGGAUUAGAGGCAUGAGCCACAAUGCCCGGCCUAAUAUUUUUGAACCAAUGUUAACUACUCACUUAAGAAUUUAGCCUUACACUAAUAUUUGAGAUAACCGGUUUGUUGGGCUGGUUUUAGUAUUUUCUAACACAAAUAAGAAUAAAUACUCAAACAUUCUUAAAAAGUGCAUGUAGCACUUAAGACUAUCUUGGUACUCCAUUUGGGAAACCAUGUAGCCAAGGCUGUUGGGGCGAACCAAGGUGGUGGGAGUCCGACGGGCCAGCAGGGGGCGCACUUGCAGGUCACCUGAAGUCCUUAUUUACGGGAUAAGGUGGAGGCUGAGGAAAGUCUUUCAGAGGCCGGACGCUGGCACUGGACGGAGUAGGGAACCCUAGCCGUUAUCCCACCAAAGGGUCCCAGCGCCUAGAGGGGCUGCGGAAAGCUCCUACAAUACGAGGAGCCCUUGGAGCCCAGAGCGGGAUCCUGCGAGCCGAGGCCCCGUUCUCUGUUAGGAUCACGGGGACUGCCCCAGGCAGCUGCUGGGCCCGGUCGCGGACCUCGGCCAGAACAUCCUCCCAGAACACAGAGGAAUCUGACAUCAGUGGCCUCCCUUGGUAGAGGUGGGGAGCCGAGGGGCGGCAGUGUGGAAGGGCCAUCGGCCUAGGUCUUUCGUAUCCCCUCCGGCCUCUCGGGGCUGUGCGUUCGGAAACAGCGAAAGGAACGGCCUCAGGAAUCUGGCCUCAGCCGGAGCACUGGUGAACACAGGCUCCCGUCGCGCCAAGGGAAGUAGGAAAAGCUGCUUCCGGGCGGAGGGGCUGCACUUCCGGGGCCCGCGUCCCCCGGCGGCUUCGCCGAGAAGGGGCUUUGGGAGCUUAAGGGCGCCGGCACGCGUUCCCCUGGCGCAGAGCUCGCUAGCCGGGGCGCGGGCUGCCUCCUUGUUCUGGUGUGAUCCGAAUGUAACGGAGCGGACUUUGGGAUCCAGAACCCCGGACUGAGCUGCAGUUCCUGAUACUGGUUUUUCUACAUGCUUCAGCCAAAGACAUAUACUCUUUGAUCCCUGAGAACACUAUUUCCUCAGUGUCUUUGCACAUGGAGUUCACUUCUCUGCUUGUGAAGUCUAUGAAUAUUGCAUGGCUGAUUUGUCACAAUUUUAAGUCUUCAACAUCUGGAGUGUUCUGGCAAGAAUUUGUAGGAAAAAUUUUUGAAUCAUCAGAUUACCAUAGCACAACCUUGGAGAAUAAAACUCUUUUGCUCUGAAGCUCAUCUAAUAACCUGAUAUCUCUCAAAUGAAUCUAUCCAAUGACAGGGAAUACCCCAUGUUAAACAGCUGAUUCUUGUUCUGAAUACGUUUAUUAUCUUGUAGUUAGUAAAUAAAUCAAUUGGAC
This 2806-nucleotide long non-coding RNA is filed under the name Homo sapiens (human). RNAcentral's name for it is "HSALNT0295783". Lineage: Eukaryota; Metazoa; Chordata; Mammalia; Primates; Hominidae. The record is from RNAcentral.